This 26-nucleotide non-coding RNA is filed under the name Cricetulus griseus (Chinese hamster). Lineage: Eukaryota; Metazoa; Chordata; Mammalia; Rodentia; Cricetidae. The record is from RNAcentral.
CAAAUGUGAUUACUGUGACAAGCUGU